CGGGUGAGUAACGCGUGGAUAACCUGCCGUAUACAGGGGGAUAACACUUAGAAAUAGGUGCUAAUACCGCAUAAGCGCACAGCUUCGCAUGAAGUGGUGUGAAAAACUCUGGUGGUAUACGAUGGUUCCGCGUCUGAUUAGCUUGUUGGUGGGGUAAUGGCUCACCAAGGCGACGAUCAGUAGCCGGCCUGAGAGGGUGAACGGCCACAUUGGGACUGAGACACGGCCCAAACUCCUACGGAAGGCAGCAG
This 251-nucleotide ribosomal RNA is filed under the name uncultured bacterium. RNAcentral describes it as "partial 16S ribosomal RNA". It matches the Rfam family "Bacterial small subunit ribosomal RNA", at positions 103 to 354 of the family's 1533-position model. The record is from RNAcentral.